UAUCUCUGUAGAGUCUGCAUAUCAAUAAGCGGAGGAAAAGAAACUAACAAGGAUUCCCCUAGUAACGGCGAGUGAAGCGGGAAGAGCUCAAAUUUGAAAUCUUCAAGGUUUGACCUUGACGAAUUGUAGUUUAAAGAAGUGUUUUCGGUUAGAGGAGUAGUAAAAGUUCUUUGGAAUAGGACAUCAUAGAGGGUGAGAAUCCCGUAUUUGACUAUUCUUUCUAGCUUUGUGAUACACUUUCAAAGAGUCGGAUUGUUUGGGAAUGCAGUCCAAAAUGGGUGGUAAAUUUCAUCUAAAGCUAAAUAUUGGCGAGAGACCGAUAGCGAACGAGUACCGUGAGGGAAAGAUGAAAAGAACUUUGAAAAGAGAGUUAAACAGUACGUGAAAUUGUCAAAAGGGAAGCGUUUGACACCAGUGUUGUUUUUCCGAAAAUCAAUUAAAAAUUGAUUCAUGCCAGGUUGUAUUGACCUUAUCAGCUUGCAAUUUGGUUUUGGGUCUCUUUUUGAUGCACUUUUCGGUUAACAAGUCAACAUCAAUUUCCUUUGCUGUAAAAAGGUAAGAGGAAGGUGGCUUCAAUUUCGGUUGAAGUGUUUAUAGCCUUUUAUCUCUGCAGUCGGGGAGAUUGAGGUCUGCAGCGUAGAUCCUUCGGGGCUAGAUACAUUUAUGCUAAGUUAUAGCUUUUCAUAGACAACUUGUUGACUAUGUUUAGUCAUGUAGCUUACUCGUAAGUGCUAUUUUACCUACGCUUAGGAUGUUGAAGACUCUACAGAGAUA
RNAcentral lists this ribosomal RNA (774 nucleotides) under uncultured Neocallimastigales. RNAcentral's name for it is "partial large subunit ribosomal RNA". It matches the Rfam family "Eukaryotic large subunit ribosomal RNA", at positions 24 to 642 of the family's 3401-position model. Lineage: Eukaryota; Fungi; Neocallimastigomycota; Neocallimastigomycetes; Neocallimastigales. The record is from RNAcentral.